RNAcentral lists this long non-coding RNA (405 nucleotides) under Hordeum vulgare. Its description in RNAcentral is "long non-coding RNA (HVUL_LNC017113)". Lineage: Eukaryota; Viridiplantae; Streptophyta; Magnoliopsida; Poales; Poaceae. The record is from RNAcentral.
CGUGAUUGCCUGCCACACUCGAAGGGUUCGGAGAAUAAUCUUCAUCUUCACCGCCCACACGCCGUAGUUGGCGUCGGUGAGCAUCGGGUACUGGAUGGGGAUGUUGCGAUGCGCCUGGACGUUAGCGCCGCUCGUUCCUCCACCACUGGUUGCUGACUUGACGCCCUUCUUCACCUUGUCGCCGUUCUUGUUCGCCUUGGCACCGCCGCUGUCGGACUUGACCGACUCAGCGUCGCUGUCCGUCAUCGUAGAUCGUAGAUCGUCGAGGCUCUAGAUACCAAUUGUUGGCUUUUGAACGUGCGUAUGCAGCUGUACAGGCGUGCCUACGCGAUUCUUGCUUCGGCCGGCUACUUGACGGAACUUGCGUAACUAGCGACACGAAUAAAACUGAUCGAUGGAUUUGAU